RNAcentral lists this ribosomal RNA (453 nucleotides) under Corynebacterium sp. oral taxon B71. Its description in RNAcentral is "bacterial SSU rRNA". It matches the Rfam family "Bacterial small subunit ribosomal RNA", at positions 28 to 497 of the family's 1533-position model. Lineage: Bacteria; Bacillati; Actinomycetota; Actinomycetes; Mycobacteriales; Corynebacteriaceae. The record is from RNAcentral.
GACGAACGCUGGCGGCGUGCUUAACACAUGCAAGUCGAACGGUAAGGCUCCAGCUUGCUGGGGUACACGAGUGGCGAACGGGUGAGUAACACGUGGGUGACCUGCCCUGCACUUCGGGAUAAGCCUGGGAAACUGGGUCUAAUACCGGAUAGGACCGCACUGUGAGGGUGUGGUGGAAAGUUUUUUCGGUGUGGGAUGGGCCCGCGGCCUAUCAGCUUGUUGGUGGGGUAAUGGCCUACCAAGGCGGCGACGGGUAGCCGGCCUGAGAGGGUGGACGGCCACAUUGGGACUGAGACACGGCCCAGACUCCUACGGGAGGCAGCAGUGGGGAAUAUUGCACAAUGGGCGGAAGCCUGAUGCAGCGACGCCGCGUGGGGGAUGACGGCCUUCGGGUUGUAAACUCCUUUCACCAUCGACGAAGGGUUUCUGACGUAGAUGAGAAGAAGCACCGCA